AUGUCCUCGUCUGAUCUACAAGGGCAAUGGGCAUCAAGAAGAGAUGAACCUGAAGCUACAACAUCUACCAACUCUGAACAAAAGGGAGCACUGCCUGUGAAAAAGAGGAAGCAAAGCCAGAUCACUGUUGUACUUGAGGAUUACAUGGAUUUUUGAAAGAAACAAUCUGCAAAACUGGUUGACGAGUUGAAGGAAUCAAAGCCAGAUGACAUGUUCUCGAUUGGAAACUGUGUGGCUGCGCUAGAACCAACGAAAGAUCUAUCAGUUGCAGAAAAAGCAAAGGCACUGCGGCUUUUUAAAUGCCCAAUGAAUCAAGAAAUAUUCAUCAAUACCAAGGACUCAAAUCUUCGGCUUUAUUGGUUGAAGGAGGAGAUUUCUGAGAUGUAG
Molecule: ribosomal RNA, 387 nt
Filed under: Triticum aestivum (bread wheat)
Lineage: Eukaryota; Viridiplantae; Streptophyta; Magnoliopsida; Poales; Poaceae
Description: partial small subunit ribosomal RNA
Source: RNAcentral